CCCUUAGAUGUUCUGGGCCGCACGCGCGCUACACUGAUGCAUUCAACGAGUUUCUUCCUGGUCCGAGAGGAAUGGGUAACCUUUUGAAAGUGCAUCGUGAUAGGGAUAGACUAUUGCAAUUAUUGGUCUUCAACGAGGAAUUCCUAGUAGACGUAGUUCAUCAGACUGCAUCGAUUACCUCCCUGCCCUUUGUACACACCGCCCGUCGCUCCUACCGAUUAAGUGAUCCGGUGAAUAGUUCGGACUGCUGCAAUGCUUGGAUCCCGAGAAUUGCGGCGAAAGUUUAGUGAACCUUAUCACUUAGAGGAAGGAGAAGUCGUAACA
Molecule: ribosomal RNA, 324 nt
Filed under: uncultured eukaryote
Lineage: Eukaryota
Description: partial 18S ribosomal RNA
Rfam family: Eukaryotic small subunit ribosomal RNA
Source: RNAcentral